Molecule: ribosomal RNA, 474 nt
Filed under: uncultured organism
Description: partial 16S ribosomal RNA
Rfam family: Bacterial small subunit ribosomal RNA
Source: RNAcentral
GUACACUCCUACGGGAGGCAGCAGUGGGGAAUUUUGGACAAUGGGCGAAAGCCUGAUCCAGCAAUGCCGCGUGAGUGAAGAAGGCCUUCGGGUUGUAAAGCUCUUUUGUCAGGGAAGAAACGGUGAGAGCUAAUAUCUCUUGCUAAUGACGGUACCUGAAGAAUAAGCACCGGCUAACUACGUGCCAGCAGCCGCGGUAAUACGUAGGGUGCAAGCGUUAAUCGGAAUUACUGGGCGUAAAGCGUGCGCAGGCGGUUUUGUAAGUCUGAUGUGAAAUCCCCGGGCUCAACCUGGGAAUUGCAUUGGAGACUGCAAGGCUAGAAUCUGGCAGAGGGGGGUAGAAUUCCACGUGUAGCAGUGAAAUGCGUAGAUAUGUGGAGGAACACCGAUGGCGAAGGCAGCCCCCUGGGUCAAGAUUGACGCUCAUGCACGAAAGCGUGGGGAGCAAACAGGAUUAGAAACCCCGGUAGUCCC